This 1557-nucleotide long non-coding RNA is filed under the name Capsicum annuum. Its description in RNAcentral is "long non-coding RNA (CANN_LNC012343)". Lineage: Eukaryota; Viridiplantae; Streptophyta; Magnoliopsida; Solanales; Solanaceae. The record is from RNAcentral.
UUUUUUUUGUGCAUCAUAUAUUUUUUUCAUAUGGUGCACAAAAAAAAUGUACCACAUAGAAAAAAAUGAAUGGUGGACAAAAAAAGUGCACCAUCCAAUUUUAACUUCGGUUAACUAAGCCAUUAAAAAAAAAAAGGAUAGUGCACAAAAAAAGUGCACCGAGCCUAUUUUUGUUACCCUACAAUUUAAUGGCAUAUUUUUGUUGGCAUAUUUUGGUCGCGUGUUCAUAGGAUACACACAAUCCAAAUUUUAUGCUUUGGCCGCCCUCUCUUCCCCUUCAACUUUACUUUUUGUUUACAUAGUUUCAAAAAGAAGUCCUUAUCCUUCUUUGCUUCUAUGGAAUGACAACAAAGGCAUUCCUAGAGCAUUCGAGUCUUUUGUGAUGAAAAAAUAGAUUCGAGGCCGACGAUACCCAGUUCACUGCUCCACAAAAGGUGAAAAUCAAAACCUAUUCCUAUUUAUUUCGCUAAUUCUCUGGAUGUUAGAAAUCAUGUUUAGAUAUGGACUAAGUUCUUAAGUGUUGAUUUGUUUUUUUAAAUGAACUGUGUUAAGUAUUAGAUAAAACAUAUGUUAGGAAUUGAUUUUUAUUUAGUUCUUAGAAUCAAAAAUUUGAAGAAGCAUUCUUUAUUAGUAGGAGAUUUUGUCAUGAUUUAGAUUCAACUCUCAUAUAACUCAUGUCUCAAAUUUCACUUAGUAUUCCUUAAUGAUAUAUCAAAACUAUGUUUAUUGUUAAUGUCUCACUUAGCCAUGUUAACAUUUUUCUCACGUUGAACCAGCAGCUAAAAUUUGGUAGUAACCCUUCUUGAUGUGUCUAGUCUAGUUGGGUAAUAUAAGUACAAUGGUAUAAUAGUUAUUAUCUAAAAUAGUAUGUUAGUCACCAAGAUUUUUUAAGACUCCUGUACUUUUCACAUUUUCUAAAGAAAAUGUGGGGUAUGCCUUCACUAUUAGAAUCAUGUCAUAUGCGAAGAAUUCUCUUGUGGUCAGUUGAGGAAUAUUUGGUUUUGAAUACAUGAUUCAAGCCAUGCGCCCUUUUGUUUAUUUUGUAUUCAACUUUUGUAACUAUUUGAGAUUCAUAUUCCUCUUCUAUUUCUUAAUUUUUUCUUUGUUUUUACAUGAACAUUGGAGUUGAAGAGUCCUAUUUUAAGACUCGACGUUGCUGCAAGACCUGAAACGUGCAUCUGCAUCUUCACUCAUGUCUAUCACUCCUUUGAAACUCACUCCAAACAGAAAAUUGCAAAGACAACAAGGAGAUUUACGACUCUAUAUUGUUUUUUGGUCGUUAUUAUAUUGCGUUUGCUUUUUGUUGAUUUUUCUUGCACUUGUAUAACGUGACAAUUGUUUGUUCUUUGCUUUCUAUGUCAAGACUACCUCAAUAUUGUUAGUUAUUUAGUUAUAUAAUGUUUUUUAUUUGAUAAACGUUUUCAACUUUUAAGUAUAGCAAAUUGCAUCAUUUAGGACUACUAAAUUUGUAUUUUAAUAUUUUUGGGCUUACACCGUUACUGGAAAGUUUUUGAUAUAAAAGGUCUAAUGACACUGCAUUAGUUUUUUGUUUCUCUA